UUUAGUGUGGUGCUUGGGCACAUCAUAUUUUGGUUAUGGGGGUAACUUGUUGUUCACUUUUC
RNAcentral lists this transfer RNA (62 nucleotides) under Senga ophiocephalina. RNAcentral describes it as "tRNA-Gln". The record is from RNAcentral. Lineage: Eukaryota; Metazoa; Platyhelminthes; Cestoda; Bothriocephalidea; Bothriocephalidae.